GUCAGCUGCUGUGUGUGAAGCUCCGGACGAGAAGAAGAAGAAAGAAGAAAAGUUGAGUGAGAAUUCCUUUUUUCCCCUCCACCAACAAUGUGGAAAGUGGAAGUGGAAGGCGCCAAAACAAGGGUUCACCCCCCCUUCCCCUGCUGGAUGGAGCGCACUGAUUGUGCCCCUGCAACAGAGCGGGAUGCCGGUGGGGCCGGUUUUUAUACGCAGUACGUACCGGUGCGACAGCAACCUGCUCUCAACAGUUUUUCUUCCAGGUAACACGCGCAGCGCGGAUGCUGAAAACGGAAAAUCAGGAGCCCGUGAUUCGAAACAACCGCACUUGAAAACGCUCAACUCUGAACUCCCCCAGUGUGUGUGUGUGUGUGUGUGUGUGUGUGUGUGUGUGUGUGUGUGUGUGUGUGUGUGUGUGUGUGUGUGUGUGUGUGUGCGUCUCUGGAAAAUGGUGCGCCUUUUUAACCUUAAACAGCCGCAGGCUGGCAAAUCUUUUUCAUAAAUUCGCACGUCGGUUUUGGCCAAGGCCCACGGACCAGAAACAGAAGCAGAACCAGGACGACGACGCCUGCGUCUGCCGACCACAAAAAACAUUACAACUUGCCAAGAAAAAACCAAAGCCGAAUCCUGAAAUACACUCGAAAAUUCGAUCUGGCAGUUGUUGGGCUUUUUAGGAUUAUCUUUUCAAUACAUUUCUCUGAAACGAGUUUUUGUUAGAAAAACAGAAAUGAAAAUCUGCCUCAAAAUCGUCAUACCCCCCUCUAAAAGGGUAUAAUGACAAGGAUAAGUAUGUAUACAUGGUGGGUAAAAAGAGGCCAUGGGAUAAGGGGAUAACGUUAAGUGGCGCGUUAAAUUACAUUAAUCAUUGAAGGGAUUUUAACAUGCAACGAUGAAGCGAAGGCUGCUGCACCUGAAGGUCCUUUCCACCAGCCUCAACCAUCCCACCAUCCAAUACUUUUUCUCAGCUUUUUCCAUUUUUUCGGGGAGGUGGAAUGGCGUUCGUCCUGGCCCCAACUGUAGCUUAUUUUGUGGCUUCCUUCUUGACCUUUUUUCGACGUGUUUGUUUUGCCAGUAAAAAGGAAACGAAAGGAAAGGAGAAAUAAAGUUCUUGGUCACAACAAAGCAAUUGCGGGAUUUGUUUUUUUUUUUGUUAAUCAAUAAACG
This is a long non-coding RNA of Drosophila persimilis, 1161 nucleotides long. RefSeq lists it as uncharacterized. NCBI's taxonomy places the organism in Eukaryota, Metazoa, Arthropoda, Insecta, Diptera, Drosophilidae. The transcript has 3 exons. The record is from RefSeq and is a predicted model, not a curated record.